This 292-nucleotide ribosomal RNA is filed under the name uncultured bacterium. RNAcentral describes it as "partial 16S ribosomal RNA". It matches the Rfam family "Bacterial small subunit ribosomal RNA", at positions 505 to 796 of the family's 1533-position model. The record is from RNAcentral.
GUGUCAGCCGCCGCGGUAAUACGAAGGUGGCAAGCGUUGUUCGGAUUCACUGGGCGUACAGGGAGCGUAGGCGGUUGGGUAAGCCCUCCGUGAAAUCUCCGGGCCUAACCCGGAAAGUGCAGAGGGGACUGCUCGGCUUGAGGACGGGAGAGGAGCGCGGAAUUCCCGGUGUAGCGGUGAAAUGCGUAGAGAUCGGGAGGAAGGCCGGUGGCGAAGGCGGCGCUCUGGAACGUUUCUGACGCUGAGGCUCGAAAGCGUGGGGAGCAAACAGGAUUAGAAACCCUCGUAGUCC